GCUUACGGCCACUCCAGCCUGAAUGCUCCCGUUCUCGUCAGAUCUCGGAAGCUAAGCAGGGUCGGGCUUGGUUAGUACUUGGAUGGGAGACUUCCUGGGAAUACCAGGUGCUGUAAGCA
Molecule: ribosomal RNA, 119 nt
Filed under: Hucho hucho (huchen)
Lineage: Eukaryota; Metazoa; Chordata; Actinopteri; Salmoniformes; Salmonidae
Source: RNAcentral